CCCUUAGAUGUUCUGGGCCGCACGCGCGCUACACUGAUGCAUUCAACGAGUCUAAAACCUGCUCUGAUAGGGGUGGGUAAUCUUUUGAAUGUGCAUCGUGAUUGGGAUAGAUGAUUGCAAUUUUUCAUCUUCAACGAGGAAUGCCUAGUAAACGCAAGUCAUCAGCUUGCAUUGAUUACGUCCCUGCCCUUUGUACACACCGCCCGUCGCUCCUACCGAUUGAAUGAUCCGAUGAAUAUCAUGGAUUGAGGAUGCAAGUAGGUUCGCCUAUCUUCAUCUUCGAGAAGUGAAGUAAAUCUUAUCAUUUAGAGGGAGGAGAAGUCGUAACA
Molecule: ribosomal RNA, 329 nt
Filed under: uncultured eukaryote
Lineage: Eukaryota
Description: partial 18S ribosomal RNA
Rfam family: Eukaryotic small subunit ribosomal RNA
Source: RNAcentral